GACCAGCCCACAUCCCAAACUGAUGUCCUCCAUAGUUCUGGGCAUAAGGCACAGCUCCAACUAAAGGUGAUGCCCCUGAGAACAGAAGUGGAAAAUCAGGCCUCUCAAAUUCUUUAGGAUCCAACUCAAGUAACUCAGCUACUGAGUCUGACCACACAACGAGCUGAGGAUUCUCCACCUCAACAGAAGGCAACAUUUUCGUAUAGCAUGCAUGCAAUACCUCUCUUGGAAUGGUAUCUGUUCUUGGAUCAGCAGGCAGUUCACGAACAAAUGAAUGAUCCCAAUUGAGCUCUUCAAGUUUCAACAUACGUUUACUGUUACUUCCAUCAUUUCCCAAACUCUGCUUCUUCAAUUUGUCAGCAACUGACUCAACCGUCACAGCAGCUGAUUCCAUUGACGGUGAAGAAGAAAACAACGCACGGCGGCGAUUGGGCUGAAUUGGGUAUGAAAAGGGGUUCUUUAGGUGAUGAAAAAA
Molecule: unclassified non-coding RNA, 475 nt
Filed under: Hevea brasiliensis (rubber tree)
Lineage: Eukaryota; Viridiplantae; Streptophyta; Magnoliopsida; Malpighiales; Euphorbiaceae
Source: RNAcentral